RNAcentral lists this ribosomal RNA (2930 nucleotides) under Escherichia coli. RNAcentral describes it as "23S ribosomal RNA". It matches the Rfam family "Bacterial large subunit ribosomal RNA". The record is from RNAcentral. Lineage: Bacteria; Pseudomonadati; Pseudomonadota; Gammaproteobacteria; Enterobacterales; Enterobacteriaceae.
GGGUUGUGAGGUUAAGCGACUAAGCGUACACGGUGGAUGCCCUGGCAGUCAGAGGCGAUGAAGGACGUGCUAAUCUGCGAUAAGCGUCGGUAAGGUGAUAUGAACCGUUAUAACCGGCGAUUUCCGAAUGGGGAAACCCAGUGUGUUUCGACACACUAUCAUUAACUGAAUCCAUAGGUUAAUGAGGCGAACCGGGGGAACUGAAACAUCUAAGUACCCCGAGGAAAAGAAAUCAACCGAGAUUCCCCCAGUAGCGGCGAGCGAACGGGGAGCAGCCCAGAGCCUGAAUCAGUGUGUGUGUUAGUGGAAGCGUCUGGAAAGGCGCGCGAUACAGGGUGACAGCCCCGUACACAAAAAUGCACAUGCUGUGAGCUCGAUGAGUAGGGCGGGACACGUGGUAUCCUGUCUGAAUAUGGGGGGACCAUCCUCCAAGGCUAAAUACUCCUGACUGACCGAUAGUGAACCAGUACCGUGAGGGAAAGGCGAAAAGAACCCCGGCGAGGGGAGUGAAAAAGAACCUGAAACCGUGUACGUACAAGCAGUGGGAGCACGCUUAGGCGUGUGACUGCGUACCUUUUGUAUAAUGGGUCAGCGACUUAUAUUCUGUAGCAAGGUUAACCGAAUAGGGGAGCCGAAGGGAAACCGAGUCUUAACUGGGCGUUAAGUUGCAGGGUAUAGACCCGAAACCCGGUGAUCUAGCCAUGGGCAGGUUGAAGGUUGGGUAACACUAACUGGAGGACCGAACCGACUAAUGUUGAAAAAUUAGCGGAUGACUUGUGGCUGGGGGUGAAAGGCCAAUCAAACCGGGAGAUAGCUGGUUCUCCCCGAAAGCUAUUUAGGUAGCGCCUCGUGAAUUCAUCUCCGGGGGUAGAGCACUGUUUCGGCAAGGGGGUCAUCCCGACUUACCAACCCGAUGCAAACUGCGAAUACCGGAGAAUGUUAUCACGGGAGACACACGGCGGGUGCUAACGUCCGUCGUGAAGAGGGAAACAACCCAGACCGCCAGCUAAGGUCCCAAAGUCAUGGUUAAGUGGGAAACGAUGUGGGAAGGCCCAGACAGCCAGGAUGUUGGCUUAGAAGCAGCCAUCAUUUAAAGAAAGCGUAAUAGCUCACUGGUCGAGUCGGCCUGCGCGGAAGAUGUAACGGGGCUAAACCAUGCACCGAAGCUGCGGCAGCGACGCUGAUGCGUUGUUGGGUAGGGGAGCGUUCUGUAAGCCUGCGAAGGUGUGCUGUGAGGCAUGCUGGAGGUAUCAGAAGUGCGAAUGCUGACAUAAGUAACGAUAAAGCGGGUGAAAAGCCCGCUCGCCGGAAGACCAAGGGUUCCUGUCCAACGUUAAUCGGGGCAGGGUGAGUCGACCCCUAAGGCGAGGCCGAAAGGCGUAGUCGAUGGGAAACAGGUUAAUAUUCCUGUACUUGGUGUUACUGCGAAGGGGGGACGGAGAAGGCUAUGUUGGCCGGGCGACGGUUGUCCCGGUUUAAGCGUGUAGGCUGGUUUUCCAGGCAAAUCCGGAAAAUCAAGGCUGAGGCGUGAUGACGAGGCACUACGGUGCUGAAGCAACAAAUGCCCUGCUUCCAGGAAAAGCCUCUAAGCAUCAGGUAACAUCAAAUCGUACCCCAAACCGACACAGGUGGUCAGGUAGAGAAUACCAAGGCGCUUGAGAGAACUCGGGUGAAGGAACUAGGCAAAAUGGUGCCGUAACUUCGGGAGAAGGCACGCUGAUAUGUAGGUGAAGUCCCUCGCGGAUGGAGCUGAAAUCAGUCGAAGAUACCAGCUGGCUGCAACUGUUUAUUAAAAACACAGCACUGUGCAAACACGAAAGUGGACGUAUACGGUGUGACGCCUGCCCGGUGCCGGAAGGUUAAUUGAUGGGGUUAGCGCAAGCGAAGCUCUUGAUCGAAGCCCCGGUAAACGGCGGCCGUAACUAUAACGGUCCUAAGGUAGCGAAAUUCCUUGUCGGGUAAGUUCCGACCUGCACGAAUGGCGUAAUGAUGGCCAGGCUGUCUCCACCCGAGACUCAGUGAAAUUGAACUCGCUGUGAAGAUGCAGUGUACCCGCGGCAAGACGGAAAGACCCCGUGAACCUUUACUAUAGCUUGACACUGAACAUUGAGCCUUGAUGUGUAGGAUAGGUGGGAGGCUUUGAAGUGUGGACGCCAGUCUGCAUGGAGCCGACCUUGAAAUACCACCCUUUAAUGUUUGAUGUUCUAACGUGGACCCGUGAUCCGGGUUGCGGACAGUGUCUGGUGGGUAGUUUGACUGGGGCGGUCUCCUCCUAAAGAGUAACGGAGGAGCACGAAGGUUGGCUAAUCCUGGUCGGACAUCAGGAGGUUAGUGCAAUGGCAUAAGCCAGCUUGACUGCGAGCGUGACGGCGCGAGCAGGUGCGAAAGCAGGUCAUAGUGAUCCGGUGGUUCUGAAUGGAAGGGCCAUCGCUCAACGGAUAAAAGGUACUCCGGGGAUAACAGGCUGAUACCGCCCAAGAGUUCAUAUCGACGGCGGUGUUUGGCACCUCGAUGUCGGCUCAUCACAUCCUGGGGCUGAAGUAGGUCCCAAGGGUAUGGCUGUUCGCCAUUUAAAGUGGUACGCGAGCUGGGUUUAGAACGUCGUGAGACAGUUCGGUCCCUAUCUGCCGUGGGCGCUGGAGAACUGAGGGGGGCUGCUCCUAGUACGAGAGGACCGGAGUGGACGCAUCACUGGUGUUCGGGUUGUCAUGCCAAUGGCACUGCCCGGUAGCUAAAUGCGGAAGAGAUAAGUGCUGAAAGCAUCUAAGCACGAAACUUGCCCCGAGAUGAGUUCUCCCUGACUCCUUGAGAGUCCUGAAGGAACGUUGAAGACGACGACGUUGAUAGGCCGGGUGUGUAAGCGCAGCGAUGCGUUGAGCUAACCGGUACUAAUGAACCGUGAGGCUUAACCUUACAACGCCGAAGCUGUU